Molecule: non-coding RNA, 658 nt
Filed under: Ricinus communis (castor bean)
Lineage: Eukaryota; Viridiplantae; Streptophyta; Magnoliopsida; Malpighiales; Euphorbiaceae
Description: Eukaryotic small subunit ribosomal RNA
Rfam family: Eukaryotic small subunit ribosomal RNA
Source: Rfam by way of RNAcentral
UAUCUUCUCAAAUUUUAUUAUUGCUUCUAAUUGAUUUCUAGUUUAAUUUGUUUUGAUUUCAAAUUUAAAACCCCUCUAAUUUUAUUUGAAUUUUAUUAAAGAAAUAAAUCUUACCAAUCUCUGUGGAUUUGACCCUACUUGUCACUAUUUACAAGUUGUUUUUAUUUGAAGAGUAGGAACUUAUUUUUGUUGGAUUCGACACCCAUCAAGAAUCAUGAAAAGCAGCCUUCGGGAUCAGAGUAAUGAUUAGCAGAGACAGUCGAGGGCAUUCGUAUUUCAUAGUCAGAGGUGAAAUUCUUGGAUUUAUGAAAGACGAAUAACUGCGAAAGCAUUUGCCAAAGAUGUUUUCAUUAAUCAAGAACGCAAGUUUGGGGCUCGAAGACGAUCAAAUACUGUCCUAGUCUCAACCAUAAACGAUGCCGACCAGGGAUCGGCGAAUAUUACUUUUAGGACUCCACCGGCACCUUAUGAGAAAUCAAAGUCUUUGGGUUCCAGGGGGAGUAUGGUCGCAAGGUUGAAACUUAAAGGAAUUGACGGAAGGGCACCGUCAGCUAUGACUUUCUGCCUAAGAUCUUGUUGAUUACCCAAGACAAUCCUUCCCUUAUACUUCAGAAUCCCCUGAUUGUACACAUGAUGCUCCUUAGUUGCUGGAUUAAUG